Molecule: signal recognition particle RNA, 97 nt
Filed under: Dyella sp. M7H15-1
Lineage: Bacteria; Pseudomonadati; Pseudomonadota; Gammaproteobacteria; Lysobacterales; Rhodanobacteraceae
Description: Bacterial small signal recognition particle RNA
Rfam family: Bacterial small signal recognition particle RNA
About the family: The signal recognition particle (SRP) is a universally conserved ribonucleoprotein involved in the co-translational targeting of proteins to membranes. Archaeal SRP consists of a 7S RNA and homologues of the eukaryotic SRP19 and SRP54 proteins. In most bacteria, the SRP consists of a 4.5S RNA and the Ffh protein (a homologue of the eukaryotic SRP54 protein).
Source: Rfam by way of RNAcentral
CGUCGGUCCCUCCGCGACGAUAGUUCGCAAACCCCGCCAGGUCCGGAAGGAAGCAACGGUAGCGGAUGAUUCGGGUGCCGGGGUGUGGCUGGCGGGG